GCCGGUAUAGCUCAGUUGGUAGAGCACCUGAUUUGUAAUCAGGUUGUCACGGGUUCGACUCCUGUUACCGGCUCCA
This 76-nucleotide transfer RNA is filed under the name Pseudomonadota bacterium. RNAcentral's name for it is "tRNA-Thr". It matches the Rfam family "tRNA". Rfam says of the family: Transfer RNA (tRNA) molecules are approximately 80 nucleotides in length. Their secondary structure includes four short double-helical elements and three loops (D, anti-codon, and T loops). The record is from RNAcentral. Lineage: Bacteria; Pseudomonadati; Pseudomonadota. RNAcentral also lists the same sequence under 2 other names.